AUGAGCGCGUCAAGGAUGCCAGUCCAAACCAGGUCGCAGAGAAGGUGGCCUCCAGGAUUGCCGAAGGCUUCAGCGACACGGCUCUCAUCAUGGUGGACAACACCAAGUUUACGAUGGACUGCGGAGCACCCACGAUCCACGUGUACGAGCACCACGAGAGCAGAUGGCGCUGCCGGGACCCACACCACGAUUACUGCGAAGACUGGCCGGAGGCGCAGAGGAUUUCGGCGUCGCUGCUGGACAGCCGCUCCUACGAGACGCUCGUGGACUUCGACAACCACCUGGACGACAUCCGCAACGACUGGACAAACCCCGAGAUCAACAAAGCCGUCCUGCACCUGUGCUAGGCAGGGCCGUGCGCCGAGCGAGAAGAAGGCCCACUUGUCCAUGUAAAUAGAGCUCUGGGUGCCAGGAGCAGCGCUGGCGGCUCUGGGAGGUGCCACGUGCCUGGGAAGAGGGCGCGCGUCCCGCCGCGGCUGGAAGAUUGGCACGCGUCCAGUCUGACGUCCGCGUGGACCUUCCCCAGCUGUGUGUUGCUCUAAUCCUCCACAUCAAAGCUCUUCCUGCCUGCCCGCGUUGUUCCUAUUAAACAGUUUUAACUAACGUUUUAUAAUCUGGAGAGAAUACUUUUUAAAGCUUAUGAACUAUCUUUUAAAAAAAAAAAAAAAAGGCCGCAUCUUAUACUCCACUAAGUGUGUCUGUGAGUUUUUAUCCUGGUGAAGUCGUCACACGACGUCCCGGGGGCGGGUGGGCAUCUGGGUGGAGCCAGGCCCGGGUCCCAGGAGCUGUGUGCCGGGGUCGCAGCCCCGGACCGCGGUGGAAAGAGCCUUUGUCGUUAAGGUGACGACAGACGUGGGUCGCUGGUGGUGGCAGCUUCGACCGGAGCACGGUGCAGGCUUCCCUGGCAGCCGGAACCUGGCGGAGCUGCGGAGCCCAGAAAGGAGCCCCGGAGCCAUGCUGCGCGUGGGCUUGGAGGCAGGUGGGUCCCCCUUCCCUGACCUGCGCGGUCUCCCACAGGGCUUGGUGUGUCGGCCAGGCGACUGUGUCCCCAGAGCAGAGCCAGAGCUCGGACUCGCCGCCCGGCCAGAGCAGUCUGUCUGUGCUUGGAGCCUCUGGGCGAGUUCUCUGCCCGUCUCAGCUGACGGGGAACUCGGUGCCCUGCGUUCUCUCAUCUGUGCGGAGUUCCGAGAACCGCGCCCUCCGCCCGGCUCCCGCAGGAGGUGCCGUGCGCUGCCGGGGUUUGGGUGAGAACACGCUUCCCUUGGGAAGCAGGGCGAGUUCAGGUGUGGCUCACCGUGGAGCUGCUUUUACCCACCCAGUUCUCUCCCCUUCUUCAACCGCCUCUCAACUCCCUGUGCUGGCCUGUUCCCCGUGGGGGACACAGGGUGGGUGC
This 1393-nucleotide long non-coding RNA is filed under the name Oryctolagus cuniculus (rabbit). RNAcentral's name for it is "lncRNA (ENSOCUG00000011232.3)". The record is from RNAcentral. Lineage: Eukaryota; Metazoa; Chordata; Mammalia; Lagomorpha; Leporidae.